This 5292-nucleotide long non-coding RNA is filed under the name Aotus nancymaae (Ma's night monkey). RNAcentral's name for it is "lncRNA (ENSANAG00000039561.1)". Lineage: Eukaryota; Metazoa; Chordata; Mammalia; Primates; Aotidae. The record is from RNAcentral.
GCCUUCUGUGGCCAGCCUGUAGGACAAAACUUAUUUUUGACCAAAAAAUGGGGGAGAUUGUUAAUGUAGAAUCUCACUUCAGAGGGUCGAUUGCCCAGUUCAUUGAGAAUCAGUGAAAGGUCAGAGUCCCUGGGUCCUGGCCCCUGUUUGUCUGUUCUGUUUUCCUUGCUGGUCUUUAGAAAGAAGAACGGAGAUGUGGUCCUUCCUAUCUCUCUUCUGUUGAAAUAACACCUGCCCAGUAGAAGCAUAUCUCAGUCUCACUCAGAGAAAAGAAAAGCAGUGAUUGGAGAGUGAAGACAGGUGGUCUGGGUGGGUGGGCAGAUUCUGGCUAUCAGGCACAGAUGUGUAACACUGGAAUGACAUAUAUGCCUCUUCUCUGUGUCUUAGCUCGCUCUCACUGUGAGGUUCACAGCAAGGGCUGGGGACAGCCCUGGGUUGGAAUCCUGACUCAACUGUUCUUAGCUGUGAUGUUCCUGAACAAGCUACUUUGUCCCUCUGAGUGACUGAUGCUUCUCUGUAAAGUGGGGAUGCUCUAGGCAGCCACAUCCCAGGGAUACCUGAGAACUUAGUGAGUUAUCACCUGCAGUGUGACUGGAAGAGUGCAUUGUCAUGAUAAUGGUGAAGAUCAUGGUGAUGGUGGUGAUAUGAUAAUAACGAUGAUGAUGAUAAUGAUGAUGGUGAUGAUAACAAUAGAUAAUGAUAAUAAUGAUAGUGACUAUAUUGAUGAUGAUGGUGAUGAUGGUGAUAAUGAUGAUCAUAAUGGUGAUGAUGAUGAUGGUGAUUACGGUAAUGGUGAUAACAGUGAUGAUGAUAAUGAUGGUGAUACGAGUGGAUAAUGAUGUAAUGAUAGCGAUGAUGAAAGUGAUGAUGAUGAUGGUAAUGAUGAUGGUGAUGAUAAUGAUGGUAAUGAUGGUGAUGAUGAUGAGGGCAAUGAUAACGAUGGUGGUGAUGGUGGUGAUGAUGAUGGUAAUGAUGAUGAUGGUGAUGAUCAUGGUGGUGGUGAUGGUGGUGAUGAUGGCGAUGGUGCCAAUGGUGAUGAUGAUGGUGAUGAUGAUGGUGAUGGUGAUGAUGGUGAUAGUGAUGAUGUUGGUGUUGAUGAUGAUGGUGAUGGUGGUGGUGAUGGUGAUGAUGAUGGAGAUGAUGAUGUUGAUGGUGAUGACGAUGAUGGUGAUAAUGAUGACGAUGGUGAUGAUGAUGGUGAUGAUGAUGUUGAUGGUAAUGAUGAUGGUGAUGGUAAUGAUGAUGGUGAUGAUGAUGGUGAUGGUGAUGAUGUUGGUGAUGAUGAUGGUGAUGAUGAUGAUGGUGAUGGUGAUGAUGAUGGUGAUAGUGAUGAUGAUGGUGGUGAUGGUGACGAUGAUGAUGAUGGUGAUGAGGGUAAUGAUGAUGGUGAUGAUGAUGAGGGUAAUGAUGAUAUGAUGAUGAUGGUGAUGAUGAGGGUAAUGAUGAGGGUAAUGAUGGUGGUGAUGAUGAUGGUAAUGAUAAAGAUGAUGAUGAUGAGGGUAAUGAUGAUGAUGAGGGUAAUGAUAAUUAGGGUAAUGAUGAUGGCAAUGAUGAUGGUCAUGAUGAAGGUAAUGAUGAGGGUGAUGAUGAUGAUGACAAUGAUACUGCCAAUAACAAUGGAUGAUGAGGAGAAGGAAGAGGAUGAUGACGAUAAUGAUGGCAUGAUGAUGAUAAAAAUGGAUGAUGAAGUGGAUGAUGAUGGUGGUGGUGGUGGUGGUGGUGGUGGUGAUGAUGUAUAGAUACUUCCUGGGUCGAAUCCUCAGGUUUCUUCAGUAUUUACAGUGAAGAGCUUUACAUGUGUCCAUUUUCAAAGCUUCUCCCUGUGAGUGCAUCAACUUCAUAUUUUCACCCUAUGCUGAAUUGUCCUCCCUGCCUGGGAAGCUUGAUAUUCCAUUCCAUGACUUCAUAAUCUAUAAGAUUUCUAUUUCUUUGAGCUGUGAUUUUUUUCCUUUAGUAUUUGUGCUUUAUUCUACUUUCUAAACCUGUGCCUGCACCAAUGAUUUGCCCUGCUGUGAAGAUAGAAAUGGCGCUUCCUUCUUUCCUCUGGUAAUUUUGAGAUGUGUGAGUUUCUGCCCUGGGGUUUUUAGUUUUCUCAAACUGCAGGGGGUUAAUUAGUUUGGUUACUUCACAAUAGCAUUUACAGUUUUCUUAUUAACUGGGAAGAUAUCCAAGGACUCCUACUCUUCAUUGGGGUCUUUUGCAAGGUUUUAGUCACGAGGAUGGGUGGUAGAACUUGCAGAGAAGCCAGAAACAAGGAGAGAUCUGAAUCACUGAAAUCACCUCUAGCUGUCCUCAAAAAGUCAUGGGGCUCAGUUUGUCUUUUUGGUUUGACCAAGGAGAGAAAUAUUAGACAACGCAUAGCUUAAUUGUUCAACUAUUCAUUUUCUACAGACUUUGCUUAAAAACACUUAAAAAGCACAAGUUAUCAAGGUACUUUAAGUUGGGAGAUUGGGAAAAGAUUGAAGAGAAAAAAAAAUCAGGGUCUUAAAGCCAGCAAAGAGGUUUUUCCUGUACCUAAAAAUCUCAAAAGGUGACAUUCUUUCUUGGCAACAAUUGAGUAUCUGUACAUAAGAUUUGACCAGGAGUGGAAGUGGGAGAACCAAAGAGGUUGUUUUCUCAGGUGAAGACUCAUUCUGCCUGAGAAUGGGAAUCACCAAAGAGGCCCUGGCUGGACUCAAGAACUUGCCUCUUGCUACUUCUCUUGCCCAGAUAUUUGCUCCCUCCCCAGUCUGGCCCAGAUUUAACCAUCAUUUGUUCAUGGAGUCUUCCCUCACCCUCCAGACUAAGUUGCUCCCUGACUGACCAUUACUGUUUAUUUGUAAUAAUAAUAUCAAGCACUUGCCCAAUGCAGGGAUUUAAAUUAGAAUUAAAAAGAGACUUUUUAAUUAUACUUAAUGGUUCCCCAGAAAGUGUUUAUUUUUUAAAAUGUUGAACUAUCCUCAGGGCCAAGAUAAUAUUGGAAGGCUGAGAAUCUUAGAGAAAAUUCCAUUCUUCAUUUUAUGUGUGUUUCUACUGUUUCUGGAGCAAAUACCUAGAGAUGCUCUUGAACGUGUCUCCAAAGAGAAUACCUGGGCAAUAUAUUGCAGUAUUCUUCAUCAUGGCAAAAACAAACAAAAGCAAAGUAAAAUGUCAAUGAUAGGAGAAUCAAUGUGCAAAUUGUGGUAUAUUCAAGCACUACAAUUCUGUAAUAAGCCCCUCCCCCACACAGCAUAUAUUCAUGUUCCCAUGGAUGAAUCUCUAAUAUACUGGUACAUAAAAAUUGCAGAAUUAUAUUGACAAAAAUGGUAUUGUUUAUAUGAUGUUUAAAAACAUCCCCAAAUACUAUAUUUUAUUUAUGUGUUCAUGUGGCGUGAAAGCAUGAACAUGAACAGAGAGGACACGUAGACCAAUUUCCAAAUUGUGGUUCCACUGUGAAGGAGGGUACCAUGAUGGAGACGAGGAGCAAACGGGUCUUCCACUGACAAUGAUGAUGUUGAUGAAGAUGGCGUGAUGUGUGAUACUUCCACUAGAAUCCAUGACACUUUCUGGAGAGCUGAAGCAAAGAUGAUGAAUGUUCUCACUUGCUAAAUUUAAGUGGAGUGUGUGUGUGUGUGCGUGCAUGUGUGUGUGUGAUCACUUUUGGAACAUUCCCGUAUGUUUGAAAUAUUUCAUAGAUAAAUAGUGUUGGUCUUUUGAUGGACUUGAUGAAGAGAUUUUACAAAACUUUUUAUAAGCAUCAGAAUCUCUCAUAAUAGAUGGAAUUCUUGAGUCCAGAUAAAAGGGUCAUGCAGAAGCUGUGAGAGCGAUUAUGGGACUUUGUGAUAGGUUAUGACAGAAAUCGUGAUGUGUGCUUCCUGCCUGCUCUUUGCCCUUCUCCAGACCUGUGCCAUGGACACCUAGAUACCUCCUCAUGCUCAGUUCCCUGCAGGCGUCGCUGGGGAUUGGAAGUCUUAGAGGGAUCCAUUAUCUGAUGGAGAAAGCGAGAGGGACUCUUUCAUGUGCUGGAUAAGAGCAACCAUUCAGUGUCCCAGAUAGAGAAACUGAUUUAGAAUGUCUGAAGGGAACCGUCCUCUGAAUUAGUCCCACCUCUAAAGAAUUAUUUAAAUGCCAUCUCAUUGCCUCUGAGUUCCUUUUAUGAAUAAAAAGGGUAUUACUGAGUUUAAGAAGAUGAGUUAAUUAAUGAAGUAUAAUUCCCAGAAAGCCUCUCUGACAUACUUUUAAAACCCAGGUAGGUGUAAUCCCAUCAUUUAAAACUUUGAAUGUGAGACUGGAAAAUAAUAUUCUGAUUGUAGGAUACAGUAACCCCAACAAGGGCACUGGAGUGGAGGGAAGGGGAGCUGGGAAGGGAGAGAAGGUCAGGCACUGGGAGAACCAACAGUCAUGAGGAAUGAGACUCAGCCUGGCCCUGAGUCACAGUGGACAGCAGAGGGGACCAGGGAGAUGGUUUUAGGUGAACAUAUGGAUGAGUUGCCAACAGCCAGCGUCUCUGACAGGGAACCAGCUGGCAGCUCACCGCUGUCCAGCACCUAAGGCAGCCUCCAUCGUGGGUGAAUAAACAAAGUCCGGGUGUCCAUCUGUCCGAGAUAUUGCUAAAGGGGUUUCUCCAUGGGGUGGCAUCUCGGACUUUCCAAAUAGGAUUCUGUCAUGAUUUGUGUUAACGUUAUGCAUCAUGAAAUAAUUGCUUGACCAAGGACUUAGAGGGAGCCAUUAAGUAAGUGAUUGUUUAUUUUAUUUAUUUGCUUCUUUUUUUCUCUUCUUUUUUUCGAGACAGGGUCUUGCUUUGUUAACCAGGCUGGAGUGUAGCGGCAUGAUCAUGGCUCACUGCAGCCUUGAUCUGCUGGGCUCAAGCAAUCCUCCUCCCGAAUAGCUGGGACCACAGGCACACACCACCACGCUCUGCUGAUUUUUUUUAAGAGUCAGGUCUCACUUUGUUGCCCAGGCUGAGAUAGUUUCUUAGCCCAUUGGGUUGAUAAUUGAUUCUGUUUACCUAUAAAGUCCCGAAUAUCGGGGUGCAAAUAAAUAAAUCUAAGUUUUGGCCCAGUAAGGGCUACAUUGGCCAAAGCUUCAUGAUCACAGUUUCAAAAUGUGAACCAGAUGUUUGCUUAUAUCUGCCAAGCAACAGAAAGUAACCUCCCCAUUAGACAGAAGCGGCAGGUAGCAGCAGCCCCGCAGUCUGCUACGUGAGGCCACUCGGGACGAAACCCUUCCUUCCUCCUUCCCUGGAGAGACAGUCACAAUCCUGGCCUUCACCGCAGGCUUGCUCUGCUAGCUCAGAUAAAGCGGAAGCAUGAGAUAAACGCCUUUCAAGGAGGG